AGCAGGCGCGCAAAUUACCCAAUCCCAAUACGGGGAGGUAGUGACAAUAAAUAACAAUAUGGGGCUCUUACGGGUCUCGUAAUUGGAAUGAGUACAAUUUAAAUCUCUUAACGAGGAACAAUUGGAGGGCAAGUCUGGUGCCAGCAGCCGCGGUAAUUCCAGCUCCAAUAGCGUAUAUUAAAGUUGUUGCAGUUAAAAAGCUCGUAGUUGAAUUUCGGAGUUUGUCGGUUGGUCGGGCUUCACUGUCCGCACUGGCCUGAUGGAUUCCUACCUUCUGAAUAACCAGCAUGCUAUUAAGUUAGUGCGUUGGGGAAGCAGAGCUAUUACCUUGAAAAAAUUAGAGUGCUUAAAGCAGGCUUUUGCUUGAAUAGAUUANCAUGGAAUAAUAAAAUANGACGGCAUGGUUCUAUUUUGUUGGUUUCUA
RNAcentral lists this ribosomal RNA (424 nucleotides) under uncultured Glomeromycotina. RNAcentral describes it as "SSU rRNA". It matches the Rfam family "Eukaryotic small subunit ribosomal RNA", at positions 427 to 853 of the family's 1831-position model. Lineage: Eukaryota; Fungi; Glomeromycota. The record is from RNAcentral.